RNAcentral lists this ribosomal RNA (2940 nucleotides) under Priestia megaterium. Its description in RNAcentral is "23S ribosomal RNA". It matches the Rfam family "Bacterial large subunit ribosomal RNA". The record is from RNAcentral. Lineage: Bacteria; Bacillati; Bacillota; Bacilli; Caryophanales; Bacillaceae.
GGUUAAGUUAGAAAGGGCGCACGGUGAAUGCCUUGGCACUAGGAGCCGAUGAAGGACGGGACUAACACCGAUAUGCUUCGGGGAGCUGUAAGUGAGCUUUUGAUCCGGAGAUUUCCGAAUGGGGAAACCCACUGUUCGUAAUGGAACAGUAUCUUUAUCUGAAUACAUAGGAUAUUGAAGGCAGACCCGGGGAACUGAAACAUCUAAGUACCCGGAGGAAGAGAAAGCAAAUGCGAUUUCCUGAGUAGCGGCGAGCGAAACGGAAUUAGCCCAAACCAAGAGGCUUGCCUCUUGGGGUUGUAGGACACUCUAUACGGAGUUACAAAGGAACGAAGUAAAUGAAGCGACCUGGAAAGGUCCGUCGAAGAAGGUAACAACCCUGUAGUUGAAACUUCGUUCCUCUUGAGUGGAUCCUGAGUACGGCGGAACACGUGAAAUUCCGUCGGAAGCUGGGAGGACCAUCUCCCAAGGCUAAAUACUACCUAGUGACCGAUAGUGAACCAGUACCGUGAGGGAAAGGUGAAAAAGCACCCCGGAAGGGGAGUGAAAGAGAUCCUGAAACCGUGUGCCUACAAGUAGUCAGAGCCCGUUAACGGGUGAUGGCGUGCCUUUUGUAGAAUGAACCGGCGAGUUACGAUCCCAUGCAAGGUUAAGCUGAUAAGGCGGAGCCGUAGCGAAAGCGAGUCUGAAUAGGGCGUUUAGUAUGUGGUUGUAGACCCGAAACCAGGUGAUCUACCCAUGUCCAGGGUGAAGUUCAGGUAACACUGAAUGGAGGCCCGAACCCACGCACGUUGAAAAGUGCGGGGAUGAGGUGUGGGUAGCGGAGAAAUUCCAAUCGAACCUGGAGAUAGCUGGUUCUCUCCGAAAUAGCUUUAGGGCUAGCCUCAUGUUGUGAGAGUCUUGGAGGUAGAGCACUGAUUGGACUAGGGGCCCCCAACGGGUUACCGAAUUCAGUCAAACUCCGAAUGCCAAAGACUUAUCCAUGGGAGUCAGACUGCGAGUGAUAAGAUCCGUAGUCAAAAGGGAAACAGCCCAGACCACCAGCUAAGGUCCCCAAGUAUACGUUAAGUGGAAAAGGAUGUGGAGUUGCUUAGACAACCAGGAUGUUGGCUUAGAAGCAGCCACCAUUUAAAGAGUGCGUAAUAGCUCACUGGUCGAGUGACUCUGCGCCGAAAAUGUACCGGGGCUAAACGUAUCACCGAAGCUGUGGAUUGACAUCUUAGAUGUCAGUGGUAGGAGAGCGUUCUAAGUGCAGCGAAGUCAGACCGUAAGGACUGGUGGAGCGCUUAGAAGUGAGAAUGCCGGUAUGAGUAGCGAAAGACAAGUGAGAAUCUUGUCCACCGAAUGCCUAAGGUUUCCUGAGGAAGGCUCGUCCGCUCAGGGUUAGUCGGGACCUAAGCCGAGGCUGAAAAGCGUAGGCGAUGGCCAACAGGUUGAUAUUCCUGUACCACCUCCCCGCCGUUUGAGUAAUGGGGGGGACGCAGUAGGAUAGGGUAAGCGCGCUGCUGGAUAUGCGCGUUCAAGCAGUUAGGCUGAUGAGUAGGCAAAUCCGCUCAUCAUAAAGGCUGAGCUGUGAUGACGAGGGAAUUAUAGUACCGAAGUUCCUGAUUCCACACUGCCAAGAAAAGCCUCUAGCGAGGCGGGAGGUGCCCGUACCGCAAACCGACACAGGUAGGCGAGGAGAGAAUCCUAAGGUGAUCGAGAGAACUCUCGUUAAGGAACUCGGCAAAAAUGACCCCGUAACUUCGGGAGAAGGGGUGCUCUGGUAGGGUGUAUAGCCCGAGAGAGCCGCAGUGAAUAGGCCCAGGCGACUGUUUAGCAAAAAAACACAGGUCUCUGCGAAGCCGCAAGGCGAAGUAUAGGGGCUGACGCCUGCCCGGUGCUGGAAGGUUAAGAGGAGGGGUUAUCCUUUGGGAGAAGCUCUGAAUCGAAGCCCCAGUAAACGGCGGCCGUAACUAUAACGGUCCUAAGGUAGCGAAAUUCCUUGUCGGGUAAGUUCCGACCCGCACGAAAGGCGUAACGAUCUGGGCACUGUCUCAACGAGAGACUCGGUGAAAUUAUAGUACCUGUGAAGAUGCAGGUUACCCGCGACAGGACGGAAAGACCCCGUGGAGCUUUACUGUAGCCUGAUAUUGAAUUUUGGUACAGCUUGUACAGGAUAGGUAGGAGCCUGAGAAGCCGGAGCGCUAGCUUCGGUGGAGGCGUCGGUGGGAUACUACCCUGGCUGUAUUGAAAUUCUAACCCGCGGCCCUGAUCGGGCCGGGAGACAGUGUCAGGUGGGCAGUUUGACUGGGGCGGUCGCCUCCUAAAAUGUAACGGAGGCGCCCAAAGGUUCCCUCAGAAUGGUUGGAAAUCAUUCGUAGAGUGUAAAGGCACAAGGGAGCUUGACUGCGAGACCUACAAGUCGAGCAGGGACGAAAGUCGGGCUUAGUGAUCCGGUGGUUCCGCAUGGAAGGGCCAUCGCUCAACGGAUAAAAGCUACCCCGGGGAUAACAGGCUUAUCUCCCCAAGAGUCCACAUCGACGGGGAGGUUUGGCACCUCGAUGUCGGCUCAUCGCAUCCUGGGGCUGUAGUCGGUCCCAAGGGUUGGGCUGUUCGCCCAUUAAAGCGGUACGCGAGCUGGGUUCAGAACGUCGUGAGACAGUUCGGUCCCUAUCCGUCGUGGGCGUAGGAAAUUUGAGAGGAGCUGUCCUUAGUACGAGAGGACCGGGAUGGACACACCGCUGGUGUACCAGUUGUCUUGCCAAAGGCAUCGCUGGGUAGCUAUGUGUGGACGGGAUAAGUGCUGAAAGCAUCUAAGCAUGAAGCCCCCCUCAAGAUGAGAUUUCCCAUAGCGCAAGCUAGUAAGAUCCCUGAAAGAUGAUCAGGUUGAUAGGUCAGAGGUGGAAGCGUGGCGACAUGUGUAGCUGACUGAUACUAAUCGAUCGAGGACUUAACCAA